GACGAACGCUGGCGGCGUGCCUAAUACAUGCCAGUUGAGCGCUGAAGGUUGGUACUUGUACCAACUGGAUGAGCAGCGAACGGGUGAGUAACGCGUGGGGAAUCUGCCUUUGAGCGGGGGACAACAUUUGGAAACGAAUGCUAAUACCGCAUAAAAACUUUAAACACAAGUUUUAAGUUUGAAAGAUGCAAUUGCAUCACUCAAAGAUGAUCCCGCGUUGUAUUAGCUAGUUGGUGAGGUAAAGGCUCACCAAGGCAAUGAUACAUAGCCGACCUGAGAGGGUGAUCGGCCACAUUGGGACUGAGACACGGCCCAAACUCCUACGGGAGGCAGCAGUAGGGAAUCUUCGGCAAUGGACGAAAGUCUGACCGAGCAACGCCGCGUGAGUGAAGAAGGUUUUCGGAUCGUAAAACUCUGUUGGUAGAGAAGAACGUUGGUGAGAGUGGAAAGCUCAUCAAGUGACGGUAACUACCCAGAAAGGGACGGCUAACUACGUG
This 497-nucleotide ribosomal RNA is filed under the name uncultured bacterium. RNAcentral's name for it is "partial 16S ribosomal RNA". It matches the Rfam family "Bacterial small subunit ribosomal RNA", at positions 28 to 507 of the family's 1533-position model. The record is from RNAcentral.